This 773-nucleotide ribosomal RNA is filed under the name uncultured Chaetomium. RNAcentral describes it as "eukaryotic LSU rRNA". The stretch from base 198 to 773 matches the Rfam family "Eukaryotic large subunit ribosomal RNA", at positions 1 to 589 of the family's 3401-position model. Lineage: Eukaryota; Fungi; Ascomycota; Sordariomycetes; Sordariales; Chaetomiaceae. The record is from RNAcentral.
CCGCCAGUAUUCUGGCGGGCAUGCCUGUUCGAGCGUCAUUUCAACCAUCAAGCCCCCGGCUUGUGUUGGGGACCUGCGGCUGCCGCAGGCCCUGAAAAGCAGUGGCGGGCUCGCUGUCACACCGAGCGUAGUAGCAUACAUCUCGCUCUGGGCGUGCUGCGGGUUCCGGCCGUAAAACCACCUUCAUAACCCAAGGUUGACCUCGGAUCAGGUAGGAAGACCCGCUGAACUUAAGCAUAUCAAUAAGCGGAGGAAAAGAAACCAACAGGGAUUGCCCUAGUAACGGCGAGUGAAGCGGCAACAGCUCAAAUUUGAAAUCUGGCUUCGGCCCGAGUUGUAAUUUGCAGAGGAAGCUUUAGGCGCGGCACCUUCUGAGUCCCCUGGAACGGGGCGCCAUAGAGGGUGAGAGCCCCGUAUAGUUGGAUGCCUAGCCUGUGUAAAGCUCCUUCGACGAGUCGAGUAGUUUGGGAAUGCUGCUCAAAAUGGGAGGUAAAUUUCUUCUAAAGCUAAAUACCGGCCAGAGACCGAUAGCGUACAAGUAGAGUGAUCGAAAGAUGAAAAGCACUUUGAAAAGAGGGUUAAAUAGCACGUGAAAUUGUUGAAAGGGAAGCGCUUGUGACCAGACUUGCGCCGGGCAGAUCAUCCGGUGUUCUCACCGGUGCACUCUGCCCGGCUCAGGCCAGCAUCGGUUCUCGCGGGGGGGUAAAGGCAUCGGGAACGUGGCUCCUCCGGGAGUGUUAUAGCCCGUUGCGUAAUGCCCUCGCGGGGACCGA